Molecule: ribosomal RNA, 496 nt
Filed under: uncultured bacterium
Lineage: Bacteria
Description: partial 16S ribosomal RNA
Rfam family: Bacterial small subunit ribosomal RNA
Source: RNAcentral
GAUGAACGCUGGCGGCGUGCCUAAUACAUGCAAGUCGAGCGAACAGACGAGGAGCUUGCUCCUCUGACGUUAGCGGCGGACGGGUGAGUAACACGUGGAUAACCUACCUAUAAGACUGGGAUAACUUCGGGAAACCGGAGCUAAUACCGGAUAAUAUAUUGAACCGCAUGGUUCAAUAGUGAAAGACGGUUUUGCUGUCACUUAUAGAUGGAUCCGCGCCGCAUUAGCUAGUUGGUAAGGUAACGGCUUACCAAGGCGACGAUGCGUAGCCGACCUGAGAGGGGGAUCGGCCAACCUGGAACUGAGACCCGGGCCAGACCCCUACGGGAGGCAGCAGUAGGGAAUCUUCCGCAAUGGGCGAAAGCCGGAGGGAGCAACGCCGGGGGGGUGAAGAAGGGCUUCGGAUCGUAAAACCUUUUUAUUAGGGAAAAAAAAAUGUGUAAGUAACUAUGCACGUUUUGACGGUACCUAAUCAGAAAGCCCCGGCUAACUACGU